This 1000-nucleotide ribosomal RNA is filed under the name Klebsiella pneumoniae subsp. rhinoscleromatis. RNAcentral's name for it is "bacterial SSU rRNA". It matches the Rfam family "Bacterial small subunit ribosomal RNA", at positions 66 to 1060 of the family's 1533-position model. Lineage: Bacteria; Pseudomonadati; Pseudomonadota; Gammaproteobacteria; Enterobacterales; Enterobacteriaceae. The record is from RNAcentral.
GUAGCACAGAGAGCUUGCUCUCGGGUGACGAGCGGCGGACGGGUGAGUAAUGUCUGGGAAACUGCCUGAUGGAGGGGGAUAACUACUGGAAACGGUAGCUAAUACCGCAUAACGUCGCAAGACCAAAGUGGGGGACCUUCGGGCCUCAUGCCAUCAGAUGUGCCCAGAUGGGAUUAGCUAGUAGGUGGGGUAACGGCUCACCUAGGCGACGAUCCCUAGCUGGUCUGAGAGGAUGACCAGCCACACUGGAACUGAGACACGGUCCAGACUCCUACGGGAGGCAGCAGUGGGGAAUAUUGCACAAUGGGCGCAAGCCUGAUGCAGCCAUGCCGCGUGUGUGAAGAAGGCCUUCGGGUUGUAAAGCACUUUCAGCGGGGAGGAAGGCGGUGAGGUUAAUAACCUCAUCGAUUGACGUUACCCGCAGAAGAAGCACCGGCUAACUCCGUGCCAGCAGCCGCGGUAAUACGGAGGGUGCAAGCGUUAAUCGGAAUUACUGGGCGUAAAGCGCACGCAGGCGGUCUGUCAAGUCGGAUGUGAAAUCCCCGGGCUCAACCUGGGAACUGCAUUCGAAACUGGCAGGCUAGAGUCUUGUAGAGGGGGGUAGAAUUCCAGGUGUAGCGGUGAAAUGCGUAGAGAUCUGGAGGAAUACCGGUGGCGAAGGCGGCCCCCUGGACAAAGACUGACGCUCAGGUGCGAAAGCGUGGGGAGCAAACAGGAUUAGAUACCCUGGUAGUCCACGCCGUAAACGAUGUCGAUUUGGAGGUUGUGCCCUUGAGGCGUGGCUUCCGGAGCUAACGCGUUAAAUCGACCGCCUGGGGAGUACGGCCGCAAGGUUAAAACUCAAAUGAAUUGACGGGGGCCCGCACAAGCGGUGGAGCAUGUGGUUUAAUUCGAUGCAACGCGAAGAACCUUACCUGGUCUUGACAUCCACAGAACUUAGCAGAGAUGCUUUGGUGCCUUCGGGAACUGUGAGACAGGUGCUGCAUGGCUGUCGUCAGCU